CCCAGACCCAGGCUGUGGAGGGUCUGUGUCCUUUUUGGGGGGAUUUUGGGGUCGGGGGGUGUUUCGGGGUCCCCUCACCACGAUUUUUGUGUCGCCCCCAGACCCAAACCGUGGGGGCCGUGUUCGCCCGGCAGCUGCUGCAGCUCGGGGGGCUCAGUGGGGGCAGGGCCGGGGUCGUCCUGAGCCGCUUCCCCACCCCCGCCAGGUCUGGGGGGGUCCCCCAUGAGGAAUCUGGGGGUCCCCAAAAGGGGGAGUGGGAGGGGAGGGUCCCGAAGGUGGGGGAUGGGGGGUGGUCGCAGUUUGGGGGUUUUUUUGGGGGGGUUUUGGGGUGGGGGUCGGCUCUCAGGGUUGUUUUUGGGGUGGGGGUCGGGUCUUGGGGGUUUUUUUGGGGUGGGGGGUUUUUGGGGUGGGGGUCCCCUGAGUUCUGUCCCCUCCCCCACAGCCUCAUGGCCGCCCUGGGCCCCCCCCAGGACCCCCAAAAGUGUCGGGAGGUGCUGAGUGGGCUGCGCUGCGGCCCCACCCAGAGGAAUUUGGGUCCCUCCCUCAGCGGAGCCCUCCUGAAGCUCUACGGGACCCCGGGGCCACUGUCCUGAGGGGACAGCCCAUUGUCACCUCCUGUCACCCCAUUGUCACCUCCUGUCACCCAUUGUCACCCCAUUGUCACCCCCCAAUAAAGCCUCUCCCCCACCA
Molecule: long non-coding RNA, 690 nt
Filed under: Taeniopygia guttata (zebra finch)
Lineage: Eukaryota; Metazoa; Chordata; Aves; Passeriformes; Estrildidae
Description: lncRNA (ENSTGUG00000025824.1)
Source: RNAcentral